RNAcentral lists this ribosomal RNA (510 nucleotides) under uncultured bacterium. RNAcentral describes it as "partial 16S ribosomal RNA". It matches the Rfam family "Bacterial small subunit ribosomal RNA", at positions 28 to 507 of the family's 1533-position model. The record is from RNAcentral.
GACGAACGCUGGCGGCGUGCUUAACACAUGCAAGUCGAACGAAGAGCGAUGGAAGCUUGCUUCUAUCAAUCUUAGUGGCGAACGGGUGAGUAACGCGUAAUCAACCUGCCCUUCAGAGGGGGACAACAGUUGGAAACGACUGCUAAUACCGCAUACGAUCUAACCUCGGCAUCGAGGAUAGAUGAAAGGUGGCCUCUACAUGUAAGCUAUCACUGAAGGAGGGGAUUGCGUCUGAUUAGCUAGUUGGAGGGGUAACGGCCCACCAAGGCGAUGAUCAGUAGCCGGUCUGAGAGGAUGAACGGCCACAUUGGGACUGAGACACGGCCCAGACUCCUACGGGAGGCAGCAGUGGGGAAUCUUCCGCAAUAGACGAAAGUCUGACGGAGCAACGCCGCGUGAGUGAUGACGGCCGUCGGGUUGUAAAGCUCUGUUAAUCGGGACGAAAGGCCUUCUUGCGAAUAGUGAGAAGGAUUGACGGUACCGGAAUAGAAAGCCACGGCUAACUACGUG